Ornithorhynchus anatinus (platypus) is the source of this 138-nucleotide small nucleolar RNA. The record is from RefSeq and is a predicted model, not a curated record. Lineage: Eukaryota; Metazoa; Chordata; Mammalia; Monotremata; Ornithorhynchidae.
UGUCCCUCAGGGUCGCACCUGGAAAGUUUCCAGUCCUCUACCAGUCUCGGCUACUGGAGAGAGAGUCAAGCAGAAGCAUACCCAUUCUAUUCCCAGCUUGGCCAGUGGCUAGUGAGUAGAACAUAAUCUGCUACAAGU